Diospyros lotus (date-plum) is the source of this 2346-nucleotide RNA transcript. It is a transcript of the gene named heat shock cognate 70 kDa protein-like, with no coding region annotated. The transcript has 3 exons. The record is from RefSeq and is a predicted model, not a curated record. Lineage: Eukaryota; Viridiplantae; Streptophyta; Magnoliopsida; Ericales; Ebenaceae.
GUGCAAAGAGACAGAGAUGCAGACUUGACCUUUCCCAAUUUUUCGUCCAGACUCCCAAUGAUAAAGGGAAGAGAGGGAGAGAGUGUCCGUGUUUGUGAGAGAGAGAGAGAGAGAGAGGUAUACUGUUUGUUUGUGCUGUGGUGAAGUUUCCGAAGCAGGUGAGGCAAAUAUGGCUGGGAAUGGAGAGUGUGUGUCGAUCGGAAUCGAUCUGGGCACGACCUACUCGUGUGUGGGAGUGUGGCUGAAGCAGAAAGAACGGGCGGAGAUCAUAGUGAACGAGCAGGGCAACAGGACGACUCCGUCGUACGUGGCGUUCACCGCUGCGGAACGUCUCAUCGGCGAGGGCGCCAAGAAUCAGGUCGCCACGAACCCCACCAACACCAUCUUCGACGCUAAACGAUUGAUUGGUCGGAGAUUUAAUGAUGAGUUAGUGCAAAGUGACAUGAAAGUCUGGCCUUUCAAAGUUGUAGCUGGUCAAGGGGAUAAGCCCAUGAUCGAGGUCACCUACAAAGAUAAGCAGAAGCAAUUUGCUGCGGAGGAGAUAUCAUCAAUGGUGCUCCUGAAGAUGCGGGAGAUUGCAGAGGCCUUUCUUGGUUCAACUGUAAAGGACGCGGUUGUCACUGUUCCGGCCUACUUCAAUGACUCACAGCGCCAGGCCACCAAGGAUGCUGGACUUAUUGCUGGCUUGAAUGUCAUGAGCAUCUUAAAUGAGCCCACUGCUGCUGCCAUUGCCUAUGGGUUGGAAAAGAAUGCGGGUAGUGAUAUAUACAAAACUGUGCUUAUCUUUGAUCUUGGUGGGGGGACUUUUGAUGUCUCGCUUCUGACUAUGAAGCAGGGUGUCUUUGAAGUGAAGGCCACAACAGGUGACACUCACCUUGGAGGAGAAGACUUUGAUAAUAGAAUGGUGAAGUAUUUCGUUGAGGAGUUCAAGAGGAGGCAAAAGAAGAACAUAGAAGGAAGCCCCAAAGCUCUUCGGAGGCUAAGGACUGCUUGUGAGAGAGCCAAAAGGUAUCUCUCAUUGACUACAGAAACCAGCAUUGAGAUCGAUUGUCUAUUCGAGGGUAUUGAUUUCUCCACAACAGUUACUCGUGCUAGAUUUGAGAAUAUGAACAUGGAUCUCUUCAAGAAGUGUAUGGAGCUGGUUGAAAAAUGUUUAACGGAUGCCAAUGUGAGCAAAAGCAGCAUCCACGAUGUUGUCCUUGUUGGUGGCUCUGCAAGAAUUCCCAAGGUGCAGCAGAUGUUGCAGGAUUUAUUCAACGGGAAGGAACUAUGCAAGAGAAUCAACCCUGAUGAGGCUGUUGCCUACGGUGCAGCUGUUCGAGCUGCAAUUUUGGGUGGAAACGCUACCAAGCAAAUCCAGGACCUAGUAUUAUUGGAUGUUACCCCUCUGUCUCUCGGCACGUCAGUGGAGGAUGGUGUUAUGUCGGUUUUGGUUCCGAGAAACACUAGUAUUCCCACCAAGAAGGAGCAAACGUUCACUACUACGCAGGAUAACCAGACUAGUAUCUUGAUUGAUGUGUACCAGGGUGAGAGAACAAGAGUUAGCGACAAUCAUUUUCUCGGUGAAUUCCACUUUGCCAAUAUUCCUCCUGCCCCCGCACGUAGUCCUACGAUCAACGUCUGUUUUGAGAUUGAUGCAAAUGGUAUCCUACACGUCUCCGCUGAAGACAGGGCAACUAGGCAGACAGGCGGGAUCACCAUAACCAAUGAAAAUGCGAGAUUGUCCAAAGUAGAGAUUGAUAGAAUGUUACAGGAGGCGGUGAAGUACAGGGCUGAAGAUGAGGAGCUCAAGAAGAAGACGGAAGCUAAGAAUGCACUCGAGGUCUAUGUGUAUAAGCUCAAAGAUGCUAUCCUGGAUCAAAAUAUUACUACCAAACUGUCACUAGCUCAAAAGCGGGAGACGGAAGAUGCAAUCGAGGAGGCCAUUCAGUGGUUGGAUUGCAGCCGGUUUUCAGAAGUAUUGGAAUUUGAAGAAAAGCAGCAUUAUCUGGAAAACAUUUGGAACCCUAUUAUCACCAAGAUUUACAAGUGAAAGUGAAACAAACAGGUGACUAAUUUGAAAUAGCCAACACAGCUUGCUUAAAUAAUAUUGCAAUAUUUGGAUGCAUGAUGGUGGCCUCUCUCAGCAAUCAGGGUCAUUUUUGUUGGUUUUAUCCGCUAUUUGAGGGCUUAAAAUUAAAGUUGAAAUAAGGUACCGAGUGGUGCUUGGUCAACGAGUACUGUAAAAUUGUAUUUAUGUUUCUACUGAAAAGCAGUUGCAUUAUGCUUCUUACCAUUUUUAUGGUGGUGGUACCCCACUACCUAUCACUAGGUACUUCAAUACAAUUUUAAGCCGUUGGAAUAAAA